This 1298-nucleotide long non-coding RNA is filed under the name Equus asinus (donkey). Its description in RNAcentral is "lncRNA (ENSEASG00005033369.1)". Lineage: Eukaryota; Metazoa; Chordata; Mammalia; Perissodactyla; Equidae. The record is from RNAcentral.
CAAGAGGCCAGUGGCACGCCCUUCGGUUCCUUCGUCUUCCUAAACUCUCUGUGGUGUCUGAGGAAUGCUGCCCACGUCUUCAGUCUCUGCAAGUUCUCUCCACCCUCUUUCUCUGGGGGAUGGCCCCCUCCCCAGGUGCCCUUCCUAACCUCAGACCCUUCUGUCUCACUUUCCUCUGCGGCUUCUCCUCCUGACCACUUCUCAAAGGGUUCUGUUCUCGAAGGCACGGUCUUCAGGGAACAGGAACGCCUCGGGUCUCAGAGCAAGGUCAUGUGCUCCUACGAUUCGACUCGCCCCCGGAUGCCCAGGGCUUCUGAGUGCGUACGACUGACGUCACCCUGCCCCUGACUCCACGCUGCUUUCUCUAACUGUCUGCUGGACGCACCUCUCAGGAUGUCCAAAGGCUUCUCAAAACCGACACGUCCAAAAGGGAGCCCGAACAACAGGAAGACGGCAGAUCAGAGAGCAGCUUGAUGGCAACCCCCCGGCCCCCGCCCCGACCGAACAUCGUGCAGAGGCUUGGACCAGCUGAAAUGACGGAUCGCCCACUUUCUGCGUCAGGGACGGAGAUCCUCGGCGUGCAACAUGUCGAACCCCACUGACUUCGCACUUGUGACCCACGAAGAAAUACGAGCGACAGUCGCACCUGAGUAGAGGACUCUUCAAGCUUCACUCCCAGCACUCUCCUGAUCCUACCCCUUCCCUCUGGAGGCAAUAUAGUCCUUGUCUACAAAUAUUACUUAAGGCCAUCUAUGCUGUGACCUACAAAUUAGCCCAGCUUCAGCGGGGACCCCCUCCAGCAAAAGACUCUAGAAGCUGUCCUAAUUAAAAUCAACAAGCCAUCCCACUAGAGCCCUCAGAGACUCCUCUGGUGAAGAGGCUUCGGCAACCUCCUCUCAUGCUUCCUGGAAAACCCAGAACGUGGAACAACAGGAAGACGGCAGAUCAGAGAGCAGCUUGAUGGCAACCCCCGGCCCCCGCACGACUGGACAUCGUGCAGACGCUUGGACCAGCUGAAAUGACAGAUCGCCAACUUUCCGCGUCACAGACAGAUCCACGGCAUGCAACACGUCGAACUCCACUGACUUCGCACUUGUGACCCACGAAGAAAAAACAAAACGAACGACAGUCGCACCUAAGCAGAGGACUCUUCAAGCUUCACCCCCAGUGCUCUCCUGGUCCCACCCCUACCCGAAACCGAAACCACAGCUAAAAACCCCAGCAUUUUUCCUUUGAGUUUUGCGUAGCUACUCUCACCUCCUUGUCUGGCUGCCUCUUGAUCAUAAACCUCUUUCCUU